This is a non-coding RNA of Caenorhabditis elegans, 149 nucleotides long. NCBI's taxonomy places the organism in Eukaryota, Metazoa, Nematoda, Chromadorea, Rhabditida, Rhabditidae. The record is from Ensembl.
CUUUUUAUACUUGCUUUCGGACACACUACUGACCUGAUUACUGUCAAGUUGUAACCGGUUUCCCUUUUUAUCAAUGAGAUUAGAAGGGGAAAAAAGUGAAAGAAGGUGGUGGCAGGCUCGUAAAAUCGGGAACGAGUAGAGUAAUGAGG